UACGAAGGGUGCAAGCGUUGUUCGGAUUCAUUGGGCGUAAAGGGUGCGUAGGCGGUGAGGCAAGUCAGGUGUGAAAUCCCGGAGCUCAACUCCGGAACUGCACUUGAUACUGCCUUGCUAGAGUACUGGAGAGGAGACUGGAAUUUACGGUGUAGCAGUGAAAUGCGUAGAGAUCGUAAGGAAGACCAGUGGCGAAGGCGAGUCUCUGGACAGUUACUGACGCUGAGGCACGAAGGCCAGGGGAGCAAACAGG
Molecule: ribosomal RNA, 253 nt
Filed under: uncultured bacterium
Lineage: Bacteria
Description: partial 16S ribosomal RNA
Rfam family: Bacterial small subunit ribosomal RNA
Source: RNAcentral